UUAAUUCCACUAGUCAUAAAGACUUGAUACAUUGGUAAACGUGUGCCAACACUUUGAGAAAGUAUAAUUUAUCCUCCCCUACAACAACACGAACCAGUGUAAGUAUUACAAAAACCAUAUUGAUACCCCAUUUUUACACAAAUAUCACUACAAGCUGGAGUGUUAUUUGGACAUGGCCCUUUUCCAAAGCAGUAUGUAAAAUAUGUUGCUUCUCCUACAAUCAAUCAAUAUAUAAUAUUGUUAGAAUAAUAAAUUAAUAAAUAUAUACUCCCUCCGUCUCAAUUUGAUUGACACAGUUGACUGUUUCACGCAUGACGAUGAAUAACUUUGACGAAUAAUAUUUUUAAUUGUAUAAUAGUAAAAAUUAUAAAAAUUUGAUAUUUUGACAAUACUAAUCGAGACGAAUCAAACAACAUCUUAUAUGCUAAUAUUUAAUUUUGUUUAUUAGUAGAAAAAUAAGGUCAAAACAAUAUGUGUAAAUAGUGCACAACAGUCAACUGUGUCAAUCAAAUAGAGACGGAGGGAUCAAUAUGAUGAAAAAUUGAAAAUGUUACAUAGACAUACUAAUGGUUUGUUGCAUAAUUAAACAAUUCUUUUUUUUGAAGUACUUAAACAGUUCAGCUCUAUUAUGAAAAAUUAAACAUGUUGACCAUUAUACAUUUUUUCUGCCAGAAGAAAACAGCAUAUUCUCAAUGUUAAAAAAAUAUUCUUAUAGAAAUUAUUAUACUGUAAAAAUUACAUAAAAAUAUAUAGGUAUAGAAUAAAUAAUUUUGUUACCUAGAGUCAAAGCAGAAGCAAUGCAUAGAAUUGCAAUGAAAAAAUACACACAGUUGAUGCUUGAAGCCAUGUUUNNN
RNAcentral lists this long non-coding RNA (854 nucleotides) under Trifolium pratense (red clover). RNAcentral's name for it is "long non-coding RNA (TPRA_LNC003677)". The record is from RNAcentral. Lineage: Eukaryota; Viridiplantae; Streptophyta; Magnoliopsida; Fabales; Fabaceae.